RNAcentral lists this ribosomal RNA (304 nucleotides) under uncultured Francisella sp. RNAcentral describes it as "bacterial SSU rRNA". It matches the Rfam family "Bacterial small subunit ribosomal RNA", at positions 30 to 334 of the family's 1533-position model. The record is from RNAcentral. Lineage: Bacteria; Pseudomonadati; Pseudomonadota; Gammaproteobacteria; Thiotrichales; Francisellaceae.
AUUGAACGCUGGUGGUAUGCUUAACACAUGCAAGUCGAACGGUAACAGGAAGAGCUUGCUCUUUGCUGACGAGUGGCGGACGGGUGAGUAACGCGUAGGAAUCUACCCAUUUGAGGGGGAUACCAGUUGGAGACGACUGUUAAUACCGCAUAAUAUCUGUGGAUUAAAGGUGGCCUUUGUGCUGCCGCAGAUGGAUGAGCCUGCGUUAGAUUAGCUUGUUGGUGGGGUAAGAGCCUACCAAGGCCGCGAUCUAUAGCUGAUUUGAGAGGAUGAUCAGCCACAUUGGAACUGAGACACGGUCCAA